This 422-nucleotide ribosomal RNA is filed under the name uncultured bacterium. Its description in RNAcentral is "partial 16S ribosomal RNA". It matches the Rfam family "Bacterial small subunit ribosomal RNA", at positions 354 to 796 of the family's 1533-position model. The record is from RNAcentral.
GUGGGGAAUAUUGGACAAUGGGCGCAAGCCUGAUCCAGCCAUGCCGCGUGAGUGAUGAAGGCCUUAGGGUUGUAAAGCUCUUUCACCGAUGAAGAUAAUGACGGUAGUCGGAGAAGAAGCCCCGGCUAACUUCGUGCCAGCAGCCGCGGUAAUACGAAGGGGGCUAGCGUUGUUCGGAUUUACUGGGCGUAAAGCGCACGUAGGCGGUUUGUUAAGUCAGAGGUGAAAUCCCGGAGCUCAACUCCGGAACUGCCUUUGAUACUGGCAAGCUAGAGUCCGGAAGAGAUAAGUGGAACUCCUAGUGUAGAGGUGGAAUUCGUAGAUAUUAGGAAGAACACCAGUGGCGAAGGCGGCUUACUGGUCCGGAACUGACGCUGAGGUGCGAAAGCGUGGGGAGCAAACAGGAUUAGAAACCCUUGUCC